Molecule: ribosomal RNA, 1620 nt
Filed under: Salmonella enterica
Lineage: Bacteria; Pseudomonadati; Pseudomonadota; Gammaproteobacteria; Enterobacterales; Enterobacteriaceae
Description: partial 23S ribosomal RNA
Rfam family: Bacterial large subunit ribosomal RNA
Source: RNAcentral
GGGUUGUGAGGUUAAGCGACUAAGCGUACACGGUGGAUGCCCUGGCAGUCAGAGGCGAUGAAGGGCGUGCUAAUCUGCGAUAAGCGCCGGUAAGGUGAUAUGAACCGUUAUAACCGGCGAUACCCGAAUGGGGAAACCCAGUGUGAUUCGUCACACUAUCAUUAACUGAAUCCAUAGGUUAAUGAGGCGAACCGGGGGAACUGAAACAUCUAAGUACCCCGAGGAAAAGAAAUCAACCGAGAUUCCCCCAGUAGCGGCGAGCGAACGGGGAGGAGCCCAGAGCCUGAAUCAGCAUGUGUGUUAGUGGAAGCGUCUGGAAAGGCGCGCGAUACAGGGUGACAGCCCCGUACACAAAAGCGCAUAUGCUGUGAGCUCGAUGAGUAGGGCGGGACACGUGGUAUCCUGUCUGAAUAUGGGGGGACCAUCCUCCAAGGCUAAAUACUCCUGACUGACCGAUAGUGAACCAGUACCGUGAGGGAAAGGCGAAAAGAACCCCGGCGAGGGGAGUGAAAAAGAACCUGAAACCGUGUACGUACAAGCAGUGGGAGCCCCACCACUAAGCCAGUGGUGAACUCCACAUACGCAUCCUUUGCUGAGGAGACGGUUAACGGAGCGAAAGCGACGUUCAACCUCAAAAGAAGCAGAGGGGGCUUAGUGGUGGGGUGACUGCGUACCUUUUGUAUAAUGGGUCAGCGACUUAUAUUCUGUAGCAAGGUUAACUGUAUAGGGGAGCCGGAGGGAAACCGAGUCUUAACCGGGCGUUAAGUUGCAGGGUAUAGACCCGAAACCCGGUGAUCUAGCCAUGGGCAGGUUGAAGGUUGGGUAACACUAACUGGAGGACCGAACCGACUAAUGUUGAAAAAUUAGCGGAUGACCUGUGGCUGGGGGUGAAAGGCCAAUCAAACCGGGAGAUAGCUGGUUCUCCCCGAAAGCUAUUUAGGUAGCGCCUCGUGAAUUCAUCUCCGGGGGUAGAGCACUGUUUCGGCUAGGGGGCCAUCCCGGCUUACCAACCCGAUGCAAACUGCGAAUACCGGAGAAUGUUAUCACGGGAGACACACGGCGGGUGCUAAUGUCCGUCGUGAAGAGGGAAACAACCCAGACCGCCAGCUAAGGUCCCAAAGUCAUGGUUAAGUGGGAAACGAUGUGGGAAGGCCCAGACAGCCAGGAUGUUGGCUUAGAAGCAGCCAUCAUUUAAAGAAAGCGUAAUAGCUCACUGGUCGAGUCGGCCUGCGCGGAAGAUGUAACGGGGCUAAACCAUGCACCGAAGCUGCGGCAGCGACACCGUGUGUUGUUGGGUAGGGGAGCGUUCUGUAAGCCUGUGAAGGUGUGCUGUGAGGCAUGCUGGAGGUAUCAGAAGUGCGAAUGCUGACAUAAGUAACGAUAAAGCGGGUGAAAAGCCCGCUCGCCGGAAGACCAAGGGUUCCUGUCCAACGUUAAUCGGGGCAGGGUGAGUCGACCCCUAAGGCGAGGCCGAAAGGCGUAGUCGAUGGGAAACGGGUUAAUAUUCCCGUACUUGGUGUUACUGCGAAGGGGGGACGGAGAAGGCUAUGUUGGCCGGGCGACGGUUGUCCCGGUUUAAGCGUGUAGGUAUGUGUUCCAGGUAAAUCCGGUUCACUUUAA